CCGUGACCUCAGAGUGACAUCGUGACGUGAUCUACAUAUCUAGAAAUUCUCUGAAGCUACACCAUGAAGCUGUUUGUCUGCAUGAUGCUGGCGACGAUGAUUGUCAUGGCAACGCUGAUCGACGACUCCGAGGGAUGGAGACGUCGGCGCAGGCGCAGGGGGUCGAGCGGGUCGAGCGGUGGAUGUCUGACCUUGGAUGCAGAUGCUGACUCAGAGUUGAGGGAGGUUGUGGAAGAGGCGAGGUCGCUCCUGGAGGAACUUGAUGAGGCCAGUGAACACUUGGAUACUAAACAAGUGGAGAACACACUCGCGGAUCAGGAAGAAGGUCGAACGAGAAGGAGUCUCCAGUAAGAAAUUGUGUAAAGUUGAAACUGAUUUAGAACCACAGGACGAUUGGUCGGCAAUUUAUUUUCUCGGAUGGAAUAUCUUUUGUCUCGUAUUACUCAUGUAACAUGAAAUGUUAUUUAAAUCAAAGAGAACGCCACUUGAAUGGUAAAGCAGCUUUGUGUCUAAUACUGGAUAUGAUCUGUUGACUUACAACUCACUCGGAACAUGCGAAGUUAAGAGAGAGACUCUCGAUCGAGGAAUUUAGUCAAGUUGAAACUGGUUUAGAAGUUCAUUAGACGAUUGAAUUUUUUCUGGAUUGAA
Branchiostoma floridae (Florida lancelet) is the source of this 648-nucleotide long non-coding RNA. RefSeq lists it as uncharacterized. The record is from RefSeq and is a predicted model, not a curated record. The transcript is spliced from 3 exons. Lineage: Eukaryota; Metazoa; Chordata; Leptocardii; Amphioxiformes; Branchiostomatidae.